GCAAAUCGAGGGAGCACAAUGGAGUCCGGCAGGGUGGGUGGACUUUUAGAGUGCGUGGCCGGAAGAGAGAGGCCUUGGGUGAAGUGUUGCCUUGCUGUGGAGAGCUCUUAGAGGACAAAUAAAAGGAACACACUCUAGGCAGAAGGAACAGCCCCUGAGAAGAACCUGAGCCCAGCAAGAGCUUGGCGUAAUCUGAGGAGCAGAGGGGGCCCCGUAGGACCGUGCACGGAGGGAUGAAGAUGCAGGGAUGCCAAGCGAGUCUGCUAAGAAUCCUGCUUCAUCUAGACCGUGCCGCACCUUUGGGAACAAGGCAAGGAUCUCCGGGUUUAUCUUCAAGAUAAGAAGCGCCAUCAGAGUUGGCUCUUUGCUUCUUGGUUUGGAGGCUGUAUGGAAUCUAGGAAGAGUGUAGUGAGUCUCAUGCACGGAAUGGGCUAUGGCGGGUAACUGGGAGAGCUCGGAAACGAACGAGUAGAGCAAGAGGGAGAUUCUCCUAGAAAGAGCCGCUUCAUCUGUUAAGGAGGAACUAUGAAACCUCUUACAGCAGGCUGCGACCUCCCUGUCCAUCCUGUGUAAAAUAUGAAAUAAGAGUUUUAAUUACCGAGCUUGGAAGGCUGCCGACAUGUUUAAUAUUUAAUGUCUCCAAUGCCUGUGCCCCAGGCGUGCCGGCACUGACACAAUUGGGGUUUCCCUUGGGUUGGUUCUGAAUGUACUUGGACAACAGCCAGGCAGCCGCCUUCCCCAACACCUGGGAGCCUCCUGUAGCCCAGCCUGGGCCCAGGCCUGCCCUGAGCCUCCCACCCCCUGAGGGACUCCUGACGAGAAGGCCCAGUGAGGCCUGUUCUUCCACCUCAGGGUGGACAUCAGGUCCUGGAGGCCCUGCGAACUAGCUAGUUAGUACUGGACCCAGCUCAGGGUCCUGGCAGAGAAACGAGAGUCAGUAGAAGAUGGGAGCCCAGGAGGGGGCCGGGGCAGAUGAGCUUGAGUUUGAGGUCUGCUUUUCUGCAAGCCAUUUAGCCCUUUCUCUGGGUGUCACUUUUAUUAUUCAUAAAGCGGAGAGUGUAUUUCCUGCGUUCCGGGUUGUUAAUGUGUCGCUAUUUUUGAGGUUUAGCAUGUGCCAGAGCCCCGCUAAGCACUUCGCAUGUACCGUGUCUUCCUCAAUACAACGACCCUUUGAAGUGGCUAAGCUGGAACUUGGGAACGAGGCCUCCUGAUUCCAGAGCUUGCGACUCCAAGGGCUUUGUGUGGAAGAGCCUUGCGUGUUUGGAGAAAUGUGAACCACCCAGUUCCAGUCCCUGUGCAGUGGCGCCUUCCGUUUGCUAGGCAGUGGGGACUCAGGGCAGCACCUCGUACUGCGACUGUGUGCCUCACAUCUCAUUCCUGCACAGAGGUGGGGGGCACCCAAGCUGUGUCUGAUUAGUUGAUUGGCACUGUCAAAAUAGUUGAAUCCCCCAGGCAUGGUGGCGCAUGCCUUUAAUCUCAACACUUGAGAAGCAAAGGGAGGUGGAUUUCUAGUUUCAGGCCAGCCUGGUCUACACAGGAAGGCCCUUUUGUUUUGCUUUGUUUAAUUUUUGUUGUUGUUUAAGACAGGGUUUCUCUGUGUAGCCCAGGCUGCCCUGGAACUAGCUUUGUAGACCAGGAUGGCCUCAAAGUCACAGAGAUCUGCCUGCCUCUGACUCUGGAAUGCAGGGACUAAAAGUACAUGCCACCGUCAAUCGAUGGCCCUGACUUAAAAGAAAAAAAAAUAAAAGCAGAAUUCUUGGA
Molecule: small RNA, 1761 nt
Filed under: Rattus norvegicus (Norway rat)
Lineage: Eukaryota; Metazoa; Chordata; Mammalia; Rodentia; Muridae
Description: uncharacterized LOC102550017
Source: RNAcentral